UUAAGCGACUAAGCGUACACGGUGGAUGCCCUGGCAGUCAGAGGCGAUGAAGGGCGUGCUAAUCUGCGAUAAGCGCCGGUAAGGUGAUAUGAACCGUUAUAACCGGCGAUACCCGAAUGGGGAAACCCAGUGUGAUUCGUCACACUAUCAUUAACUGAAUCCAUAGGUUAAUGAGGCGAACCGGGGGAACUGAAACAUCUAAGUACCCCGAGGAAAAGAAAUCAACCGAGAUUCCCCCAGUAGCGGCGAGCGAACGGGGAGGAGCCCAGAGCCUGAAUCAGCAUGUGUGUUAGUGGAAGCGUCUGGAAAGGCGCGCGAUACAGGGUGACAGCCCCGUACACAAAAGCGCAUGUGCUGUGAGCUCGAUGAGUAGGGCGGGACACGUGGUAUCCUGUCUGAAUAUGGGGGGACCAUCCUCCAAGGCUAAAUACUCCUGACUGACCGAUAGUGAACCAGUACCGUGAGGGAAAGGCGAAAAGAACCCCGGCGAGGGGAGUGAAAAAGAACCUGAAACCGUGUACGUACAAGCAGUGGGAGCACAGGUUUACCUGUGUGACUGCGUACCUUUUGUAUAAUGGGUCAGCGACUUAUAUUCUGUAGCAAGGUUAACCGAAUAGGGGAGCCGGAGGGAAACCGAGUCUUAACCGGGCGUUAAGUUGCAGGGUAUAGACCCGAAACCCGGUGAUCUAGCCAUGGGCAGGUUGAAGGUUGGGUAACACUAACUGGAGGACCGAACCGACUAAUGUUGAAAAAUUAGCGGAUGACCUGUGGCUGGGGGUGAAAGGCCAAUCAAACCGGGAGAUAGCUGGUUCUCCCCGAAAGCUAUUUAGGUAGCGCCUCGUGAAUUCAUCUCCGGGGGUAGAGCACUGUUUCGGCUAGGGGGCCAUCCCGGCUUACCAACCCGAUGCAAACUGCGAAUACCGGAGAAUGUUAUCACGGGAGACACACGGCGGGUGCUAACGUCCGUCGUGAAGAGGGAAACAACCCAGACCGCCAGCUAAGGUCCCAAAGUCAUGGUUAAGUGGGAAACGAUGUGGGAAGGCCCAGACAGCCAGGAUGUUGGCUUAGAAGCAGCCAUCAUUUAAAGAAAGCGUAAUAGCUCACUGGUCGAGUCGGCCUGCGCGGAAGAUGUAACGGGGCUAAACCAUGCACCGAAGCUGCGGCAGCGACGCUUAUGCGUUGUUGGGUAGGGGAGCGUUCUGUAAGCCUGUGAAGGUGUGUCGUGAGGCAUGCUGGAGGUAUCAGAAGUGCGAAUGCUGACAUAAGUAACGAUAAAGCGGGUGAAAAGCCCGCUCGCCGGAAGACCAAGGGUUCCUGUCCAACGUUAAUCGGGGCAGGGUGAGUCGACCCCUAAGGCGAGGCCGAAAGGCGUAGUCGAUGGGAAACGGGUUAAUAUUCCCGUACUUGGUGUUACUGCGAAGGGGGGACGGAGAAGGCUAUGUUGGCCGGGCGACGGUUGUCCCGGUUUAAGCGUGUAGGUGUGUGUUCCAGGUAAAUCCGGUUCACUUUAACACUGAGGCGUGACGACGAGGCACUACGGUGCUGAAGCAACAAAUGCCCUGCUUCCAGGAAAAGCCUCUAAGCAUCAGGUAACAUCAAAUCGUACCCCAAACCGACACAGGUGGUCAGGUAGAGAAUACCAAGGCGCUUGAGAGAACUCGGGUGAAGGAACUAGGCAAAAUGGUGCCGUAACUUCGGGAGAAGGCACGCUGACACGUAGGUGAAGUGAUUUACUCAUGGAGCUGAAGUCAGUCGAAGAUACCAGCUGGCUGCAACUGUUUAUUAAAAACACAGCACUGUGCAAACACGAAAGUGGACGUAUACGGUGUGACGCCUGCCCGGUGCCGGAAGGUUAAUUGAUGGGGUCAGCGCAAGCGAAGCUCCUGAUCGAAGCCCCGGUAAACGGCGGCCGUAACUAUAACGGUCCUAAGGUAGCGAAAUUCCUUGUCGGGUAAGUUCCGACCUGCACGAAUGGCGUAAUGAUGGCCAGGCUGUCUCCACCCGAGACUCAGUGAAAUUGAACUCGCUGUGAAGAUGCAGUGUACCCGCGGCAAGACGGAAAGACCCCGUGAACCUUUACUAUAGCUUGACACUGAACAUUGAGCCUUGAUGUGUAGGAUAGGUGGGAGGCUUUGAAGCGUGGACGCCAGUCUGCGUGGAGCCGACCUUGAAAUACCACCCUUUAAUGUUUGAUGUUCUAACGUGGACCCGUGAUCCGGGUUGCGGACAGUGUCUGGUGGGUAGUUUGACUGGGGCGGUCUCCUCCUAAAGAGUAACGGAGGAGCACGAAGGUUGGCUAAUCCUGGUCGGACAUCAGGAGGUUAGUGCAAUGGCAUAAGCCAGCUUGACUGCGAGCGUGACGGCGCGAGCAGGUGCGAAAGCAGGUCAUAGUGAUCCGGUGGUUCUGAAUGGAAGGGCCAUCGCUCAACGGAUAAAAGGUACUCCGGGGAUAACAGGCUGAUACCGCCCAAGAGUUCAUAUCGACGGCGGUGUUUGGCACCUCGAUGUCGGCUCAUCACAUCCUGGGGCUGAAGUAGGUCCCAAGGGUAUGGCUGUUCGCCAUUUAAAGUGGUACGCGAGCUGGGUUUAGAACGUCGUGAGACAGUUCGGUCCCUAUCUGCCGUGGGCGCUGGAGAACUGAGGGGGGCUGCUCCUAGUACGAGAGGACCGGAGUGGACGCAUCACUGGUGUUCGGGUUGUCAUGCCAAUGGCACUGCCCGGUAGCUAAAUGCGGAAGAGAUAAGUGCUGAAAGCAUCUAAGCACGAAACUUGCCCCGAGAUGAGUUCUCCCUGAGACUUAGAGUCUCCUGAAGGAACGUUGAAGACGACGACGUUGAUAGGCCGGGUGUGUAAGCGCAGCGAUGCGUUGAGCUAACCGGUACUAAUGAACCGUGAGGCUUAACCUU
RNAcentral lists this ribosomal RNA (2906 nucleotides) under Salmonella enterica subsp. enterica serovar Dublin. RNAcentral's name for it is "bacterial LSU rRNA". It matches the Rfam family "Bacterial large subunit ribosomal RNA". The record is from RNAcentral. Lineage: Bacteria; Pseudomonadati; Pseudomonadota; Gammaproteobacteria; Enterobacterales; Enterobacteriaceae. RNAcentral also lists the same sequence under 1 other name.